AGGCUGUUACGGACGGGAACAGCUGGAAAAGAGAGGCUAGUGAUGUGUAGCUGAAGUAAGAAGCUAAAUAUUAGCUCGUUAUUAGGCCAUGCAUUAGCUAAAUAUUAGAGCUAUAGUCUAAAUGCUUACCUGUCAAAGUCCGUUACAAGAUUAUCAAAUGGCAAAUCUGCAGUAUUGCGCUGUGUGGUUCACCGGCACGCAAAGUUCCAUUAUUGAUUAGGCAUAGGACUACGUUUUUAGACAAUACUUGAUUGUACCUGGGCUACAACAACACAGUGCAACGAGGAAUGUAUUAUUGUUAUGAACUCCCCUCCUGCCACCCGCCCCAGGGUACUCUCUCCUGGGCAUCGUCGUAGCUGGACUGGACCCCUCCUGGGAGCUGCUGGAGGUCAGACCUGCCUCUCUGCCCCCCGGCUCCAUCAUCCCUGGGGUAGGGGUUACCAUGUGGGUUACUGUGAUGGGAUUGGGAUUUCCUGGAAGGACUUUGGAG
Molecule: long non-coding RNA, 490 nt
Filed under: Salmo salar (Atlantic salmon)
Lineage: Eukaryota; Metazoa; Chordata; Actinopteri; Salmoniformes; Salmonidae
Description: lncRNA (ENSSSAG00000098246.1)
Source: RNAcentral